GAUGAAGAACUCAGCGAAAUGCGAUAAGUAAUGCGAAUUGCAGAAUUCAGUGAGUCAUCGAAUCUUUGAACGCACAUUGCGCCCUGUGGUAUUCCGCAGGGCAUGCCUGUUCGAGCGUCAUUUCAACCCUCAAGCCCCGCUUGGUGUUGGGCCCCGCCCGCCGUGGCCGGCCCUAAAGACAGUGGCGGCGCCGCCUGGCCCUCAGCGUAGUACAGCUCUCGCUCCAGGGUCCGGCGGCCGCCUGCCAGAACCCCCCCAACUCUGUGGUUGACCUCGGAUCAGGUAGGGAUACCCGCUGAACUUAAGCAUAUCAAUAAGCGGAGGA
This 325-nucleotide unclassified non-coding RNA is filed under the name soil metagenome. Its description in RNAcentral is "partial contains 5.8S ribosomal RNA, internal transcribed spacer 2, and large subunit ribosomal RNA". The stretch from base 1 to 120 matches the Rfam family "5.8S ribosomal RNA", at positions 35 to 154 of the family's 154-position model. The record is from RNAcentral.